This 185-nucleotide ribosomal RNA is filed under the name Tropheryma whipplei. RNAcentral describes it as "partial 16S ribosomal RNA". It matches the Rfam family "Bacterial small subunit ribosomal RNA", at positions 1 to 180 of the family's 1533-position model. Lineage: Bacteria; Bacillati; Actinomycetota; Actinomycetes; Micrococcales; Tropherymataceae. The record is from RNAcentral.
UUAUUAUGGAGAGUUUGAUCCUGGCUCAGGACGAACGCUGGCGGCGUGCUUAACACAUGCAAGUCGAACGGAAAUCAGGGAGCUUGCUCCCUGUGAUUAGUGGCGAACGGGUGAGUAACACGUGAGCAACCUGCCCCUAACUUUGGGAUAACUUCGGGAAACCGGGGCUAAUACCAAAUACGACC